This 301-nucleotide ribosomal RNA is filed under the name uncultured bacterium. Its description in RNAcentral is "partial 16S ribosomal RNA". It matches the Rfam family "Bacterial small subunit ribosomal RNA", at positions 509 to 809 of the family's 1533-position model. The record is from RNAcentral.
CAGCCGCCACGGUAAUACGAAGGGGGCUAGCGUUGCUCGGAAUUACUGGGCGUAAAGGGAGCGUAGGCGGAUCGUUAAGUUGGGGGUGAAAGCCCGGGGCUCAACCUCGGAACUGCCUUCAAUACUGGCGAUCUUGAGUAUGAGAGAGGUGUGUGGAACUCCGAGUGUAGAGGUGAAAUUCGUAGAUAUUCGGAAGAACACCAGUGGCGAAGGCGACACACUGGCUCAUUACUGACGCUGAGGCUCGAAAGCGUGGGGAGCAAACAGGAUUAGAUACCACCGUAGUCCCUGUCUCUUAUAA